Molecule: long non-coding RNA, 827 nt
Organism: Felis catus (domestic cat)
Lineage: Eukaryota; Metazoa; Chordata; Mammalia; Carnivora; Felidae
Exons: 3
Source: RefSeq, a predicted model, not a curated record
CAUUUUUAGCCAUUUAGUUCUCAUGGCUCUGUUCCAGGACUCUUUAAUUUGCCAGUAGCUGUUUUUCCUACACAGAUUACAGGAGUAAUUCAUCAGUGAAUGUUUCACUCAGUGGUCCCAUCUAAUAAGGUGGUUUUCUCUUCUUUAAAUCUGCCUUUGGGGACUCUGAAAUGUAAGCUGUCGAGUAUGGAUGUGUGCAGGACUGAAGAGAAUCCUAGAAAGGCAACAAAUGCUGAAAUGUCUCUCCCAAAGCUGAGGAAAGAGAAUAACAAAGAAGGAGACUUCCAAAGAAGUGAGUAUCUUGGAAAGCAGGAGGUCCCACUAAUCGCUUCUUUAUAAAAAGCAAACUUGGAGGUAAACACUCCUUUGGGAAGCAAAUAUAUUGGGUCACACAGCCUCUGUGUCAGGAGAAAAACUCCUCUUCUGUUGGUUCUGAAAAGAUCAUCCUAAACAGAGAGGUCUGCAAGUUGUCUGGGUGACUCUGGGGAAAGUCUUUCACCCCAAAGGGGUAGUAGCACUAUUCUUCACCAGUAAUCAUUAAGGGACCCUGGAAGAAGUAAAGUGAUAAUAUAUCUCCCAAUAUAAAAAGGAAAUGGUCUGCAUGGAUUAAAGGAGGUCAACACAGUAAAACCAUGCUAGUAAGACAUUCAAGUUAUUUUUGCUGCUGCCUCUCAUUCCAUCCAGGAAUCUGACAUUUUCGUGUUCUUGCUCCCUUCCUGCUAUCAGCUCAAAGGCUGAUCUGAAAUCAAUCAUUUACAGCUUAGGGAGACUGUUUCAGAGCCAAGGUAGACCUCGCCGAAUCACUCAGGGGCCCAUCCCCAGAAGUU